GGGUUGUGAGGUUAAGCGACUAAGCGUACACGGUGGAUGCCCUGGCAGUCAGAGGCGAUGAAGGGCGUGCUAAUCUGCGAUAAGCGCCGGUAAGGUGAUAUGAACCGUUAUAACCGGCGAUACCCGAAUGGGGAAACCCAGUGUGACUCGUCACACUAUCAUUAACUGAAUCCAUAGGUUAAUGAGGCGAACCGGGGGAACUGAAACAUCUAAGUACCCCGAGGAAAAGAAAUCAACCGAGAUUCCCCCAGUAGCGGCGAGCGAACGGGGAGGAGCCCAGAGCCUGAAUCAGCAUGUGUGUUAGUGGAAGCGUCUGGAAAGGCGCGCGAUACAGGGCGACAGCCCCGUACACAAAAGCGCAUGUGCUGUGAGCUCGAUGAGUAGGGCGGGACACGUGGUAUCCUGUCUGAAUAUGGGGGGACCAUCCUCCAAGGCUAAAUACUCCUGACUGACCGAUAGUGAACCAGUACCGUGAGGGAAAGGCGAAAAGAACCCCGGCGAGGGGAGUGAAAAAGAACCUGAAACCGUGUACGUACAAGCAGUGGGAGCCCCACCACCAAAGCAUUAUCUGGUGUUGAAGGCCCUGCAAAGCAGCAUCGCGGUGGCGGAGCGUCGUUUGCGACGCCCAACACACAAAACAAGCGGUGAAUGCUUUG
Molecule: ribosomal RNA, 656 nt
Filed under: Salmonella enterica subsp. enterica serovar Typhimurium
Lineage: Bacteria; Pseudomonadati; Pseudomonadota; Gammaproteobacteria; Enterobacterales; Enterobacteriaceae
Description: partial 23S ribosomal RNA
Rfam family: Bacterial large subunit ribosomal RNA
Source: RNAcentral